CANUGGGGGAACCCUGAUGCAGCGACGCCGCGCUGAAGGAAGAAGNAUCUUCCCGUAUUGUAAACUUCUNUCUGCUGGGGAAAANNNAUGACGGUACCUGACUAAGAAGNCCCGGCUAACUACGUGCCAGCAGCCGCGGUAAUACGUAGGGGGCAAGCGUUAUCCGGAUUUACUGGGUGUAAAGGGAGCGUAGACGGNAAGGCAAGUNUGAUGUGAAANCCCUGGGCUUAACCCUGGNACUGCUUUGGAAACUGUUUUNGCUCGAGUGNCCGAAAGNUAAGCCGGAAUUCCUAGUGUAGCGGUGAAAUGCGUAGAUAUUAGGAAGAACACCAGUGGCGAAGGCGGCUUACUGGACNGUAACUGACGUUGAGGCUCGAAAGNGUGGGUAGCAAACAGGAUUAGAUACCCUGGUAGUCCAAGGGCGAAUUC
Molecule: ribosomal RNA, 429 nt
Filed under: uncultured bacterium
Lineage: Bacteria
Description: partial small subunit ribosomal RNA
Rfam family: Bacterial small subunit ribosomal RNA
Source: RNAcentral